This 2904-nucleotide ribosomal RNA is filed under the name Salmonella enterica. RNAcentral describes it as "23S ribosomal RNA". It matches the Rfam family "Bacterial large subunit ribosomal RNA". The record is from RNAcentral. Lineage: Bacteria; Pseudomonadati; Pseudomonadota; Gammaproteobacteria; Enterobacterales; Enterobacteriaceae.
GGUUAAGCGACUAAGCGUACACGGUGGAUGCCCUGGCAGUCAGAGGCGAUGAAGGGCGUGCUAAUCUGCGAUAAGCGCCGGUAAGGUGAUAUGAACCGUUAUAACCGGCGAUACCCGAAUGGGGAAACCCAGUGUGACUCGUCACACUAUCAUUAACUGAAUCCAUAGGUUAAUGAGGCGAACCGGGGGAACUGAAACAUCUAAGUACCCCGAGGAAAAGAAAUCAACCGAGAUUCCCCCAGUAGCGGCGAGCGAACGGGGAGGAGCCCAGAGCCUGAAUCAGCAUGUGUGUUAGUGGAAGCGUCUGGAAAGGCGCGCGAUACAGGGUGACAGCCCCGUACACAAAAGCGCAUGUGCUGUGAGCUCGAUGAGUAGGGCGGGACACGUGGUAUCCUGUCUGAAUAUGGGGGGACCAUCCUCCAAGGCUAAAUACUCCUGACUGACCGAUAGUGAACCAGUACCGUGAGGGAAAGGCGAAAAGAACCCCGGCGAGGGGAGUGAAAAAGAACCUGAAACCGUGUACGUACAAGCAGUGGGAGCACCCUUUGGGGUGUGACUGCGUACCUUUUGUAUAAUGGGUCAGCGACUUAUAUUCUGUAGCAAGGUUAACCGUAUAGGGGAGCCGUAGGGAAACCGAGUCUUAACCGGGCGUUAAGUUGCAGGGUAUAGACCCGAAACCCGGUGAUCUAGCCAUGGGCAGGUUGAAGGUUGGGUAACACUAACUGGAGGACCGAACCGACUAAUGUUGAAAAAUUAGCGGAUGACCUGUGGCUGGGGGUGAAAGGCCAAUCAAACCGGGAGAUAGCUGGUUCUCCCCGAAAGCUAUUUAGGUAGCGCCUCGUGAAUUCAUCUCCGGGGGUAGAGCACUGUUUCGGCUAGGGGGCCAUCCCGGCUUACCAACCCGAUGCAAACUGCGAAUACCGGAGAAUGUUAUCACGGGAGACACACGGCGGGUGCUAACGUCCGUCGUGAAGAGGGAAACAACCCAGACCGCCAGCUAAGGUCCCAAAGUCAUGGUUAAGUGGGAAACGAUGUGGGAAGGCCCAGACAGCCAGGAUGUUGGCUUAGAAGCAGCCAUCAUUUAAAGAAAGCGUAAUAGCUCACUGGUCGAGUCGGCCUGCGCGGAAGAUGUAACGGGGCUAAACCAUGCACCGAAGCUGCGGCAGCGACACUCAGGUGUUGUUGGGUAGGGGAGCGUUCUGUAAGCCUGUGAAGGUGGCCUGUGAGGGUUGCUGGAGGUAUCAGAAGUGCGAAUGCUGACAUAAGUAACGAUAAAGCGGGUGAAAAGCCCGCUCGCCGGAAGACCAAGGGUUCCUGUCCAACGUUAAUCGGGGCAGGGUGAGUCGACCCCUAAGGCGAGGCCGAAAGGCGUAGUCGAUGGGAAACGGGUUAAUAUUCCCGUACUUGGUGUUACUGCGAAGGGGGGACGGAGAAGGCUAUGUUGGCCGGGCGACGGUUGUCCCGGUUUAAGCGUGUAGGCUGGUUUUCCAGGCAAAUCCGGAAAAUCAAGGCUGAGGCGUGACGACGAGGCACUACGGUGCUGAAGCAACAAAUGCCCUGCUUCCAGGAAAAGCCUCUAAGCAUCAGGUAACAUCAAAUCGUACCCCAAACCGACACAGGUGGUCAGGUAGAGAAUACCAAGGCGCUUGAGAGAACUCGGGUGAAGGAACUAGGCAAAAUGGUGCCGUAACUUCGGGAGAAGGCACGCUGACACGUAGGUGAAGUGAUUUACUCAUGGAGCUGAAGUCAGUCGAAGAUACCAGCUGGCUGCAACUGUUUAUUAAAAACACAGCACUGUGCAAACACGAAAGUGGACGUAUACGGUGUGACGCCUGCCCGGUGCCGGAAGGUUAAUUGAUGGGGUCAGCGCAAGCGAAGCUCCUGAUCGAAGCCCCGGUAAACGGCGGCCGUAACUAUAACGGUCCUAAGGUAGCGAAAUUCCUUGUCGGGUAAGUUCCGACCUGCACGAAUGGCGUAAUGAUGGCCAGGCUGUCUCCACCCGAGACUCAGUGAAAUUGAACUCGCUGUGAAGAUGCAGUGUACCCGCGGCAAGACGGAAAGACCCCGUGAACCUUUACUAUAGCUUGACACUGAACAUUGAGCCUUGAUGUGUAGGAUAGGUGGGAGGCUUUGAAGCGUGGACGCCAGUCUGCGUGGAGCCGACCUUGAAAUACCACCCUUUAAUGUUUGAUGUUCUAACGUGGACCCGUUACCCGGGUUGCGGACAGUGUCUGGUGGGUAGUUUGACUGGGGCGGUCUCCUCCUAAAGAGUAACGGAGGAGCACGAAGGUUGGCUAAUCCUGGUCGGACAUCAGGAGGUUAGUGCAAUGGCAUAAGCCAGCUUGACUGCGAGCGUGACGGCGCGAGCAGGUGCGAAAGCAGGUCAUAGUGAUCCGGUGGUUCUGAAUGGAAGGGCCAUCGCUCAACGGAUAAAAGGUACUCCGGGGAUAACAGGCUGAUACCGCCCAAGAGUUCAUAUCGACGGCGGUGUUUGGCACCUCGAUGUCGGCUCAUCACAUCCUGGGGCUGAAGUAGGUCCCAAGGGUAUGGCUGUUCGCCAUUUAAAGUGGUACGCGAGCUGGGUUUAGAACGUCGUGAGACAGUUCGGUCCCUAUCUGCCGUGGGCGCUGGAGAACUGAGGGGGGCUGCUCCUAGUACGAGAGGACCGGAGUGGACGCAUCACUGGUGUUCGGGUUGUCAUGCCAAUGGCACUGCCCGGUAGCUAAAUGCGGAAGAGAUAAGUGCUGAAAGCAUCUAAGCACGAAACUUGCCCCGAGAUGAGUUCUCCCUGAGACUUUAGGUCUCCUGAAGGAACGUUGAAGACGACGACGUUGAUAGGCCGGGUGUGUAAGCGCAGCGAUGCGUUGAGCUAACCGGUACUAAUGAACCGUGAGGCUUAACCUU